UACGUAGGGGGCAAGCGUUGUCCGGAAUCAUUGGGCGUAAAGCGCGCGUAGGCGGCCCGGUAAGUCCGCUGUGAAAGCCCAGGGCUCAACCCUGGAAAGCCGGUGGAUACUGCCGGGCUAGAGUCCGGAAGAGGCGAGUGGAAUUCCUGGUGUAGCGGUGGAAUGCGCAGAUAUCAGGAGGAACACCAAUAGCGAAGGCAGCUCGCUGGGACGGUACUGACGCUGAGGUGCGAAAGCGUGGGGAGCAAACAGG
This 253-nucleotide ribosomal RNA is filed under the name uncultured bacterium. RNAcentral's name for it is "partial 16S ribosomal RNA". It matches the Rfam family "Bacterial small subunit ribosomal RNA", at positions 524 to 776 of the family's 1533-position model. The record is from RNAcentral.